GUAAAACGGAGGCAGGCAGAGCACGUCAUGGCAACUAUUCAAGUCUGUGACGACUUUAGCAGAGCUGUUAACAAGUUUGCCAGCUGAGUAAACGACAAGGUACGACGUACAGCACCAUCUAGAGACAAUCAACACUCAUAAGAGUACAAAUAUUUAACUAGCGAAUUACCAAGGCUAUCAGGGGUGAGUAUGUUUCAAGCUAAGAUCAGGUGGGUGCUGACGAACAUGAAGGCAAAGUGUGAACAAGUCUGCGUUUUACUUAAGGAGGUUUAAUUUUAGUUAAUAAAUUAAAAUGUUGCAUGUUUAGACAUUGUUUAAACUUAUUUCCAACACUUUACAUGGUCAACAAACGCAAACAGCUUUGGACGACCCUACUUCCAGAAAAAUCUCUCGAGUAGGGGAGAGUGGGGUAAGUUAAGCUAAAUGGUAAAUUGAGCCAAAAGAAAUUGAUUAUGUGACCAAAUAUUUAGGAGAUGGGCAUCAAUUCAUGGAGUCUGUGAAGGUUAGAAGCACAUGGGUAAAGGGGUUAGAUAUUUAUUUCCAAAAAAACAGAUCAUUUAAGAUUUGUUUUAUACAACAUUUGAGGUUCUAUGAGCUCCAAUCUCCAACCUCCAACGUUAAAAACCUAGCAUAAAAGUCCACCAUUUUAGCUUAGAGGACUAAUAAAGUCAUAAUAGUAGUUCUGGGGUAAAUUGAGGGUAAAGGAGUCUGUUGAGAGGAUCAGAGUUUCAGUUCAAAUUGUUGAAAUGUGUUACUUUUUCUUUUCAAAAAUACAGCUGUGAAUGUUCUGAAUCACUUUAAGGCAUUCUCAUGUUAAGAUGGCUUUUUGCAGAAAAGGGAGUAGUAGGGAUACGGCUCAACUUACCCCGCUCUUAUGGUCUACUUACCACAUACACGGGGUAAGUUGACCAUAGGCGCGGGGUAAGUUGGCAUGCUAUAUUAUCAAGACAGUUAUGUUUACACUCAUUCUGUUGGUUUGCAGGGAUGCACAACAUCUUGAAACAUAUGCAGAUACACUAGUUAGAGACAAAACUAUGAUUGCCUUAAUGUAGUGAUCUGAAAUAUGAAAAAUGGCUCAUUUUACCCCACUCUCCCCUAACUUUUUGUUGGUUUGCAAACUAUAAAAAAACUAUAUUUAAUUGAAAAUGGGGCACAGAACGCCUAAAAAAAGUUGUGGAAAAGAACACAUGAAAGAAAAGAUUGUAAAUAGAGGCCAUCAGCAGCAAGAGGAUAAUUUUAAUUGUAAGUUUUCAUGCUCCAGAUAGCUUUGGGUUAGGUGUCAGAUCAAAUCAUUGACAGCUUCUUGUAUUAUUAACACAGCAAUUUAGUAACAUAAUAAUUUAAAGGAGAAAAGUAUGAGUUUUUUAUUAGAAAAUACUACCCUCAUACAUACAGGACAACAGAUAAUAGGUAUUACUUCGUACAUAGUAAACUUCAACACCAAACCAAAAGUUCCUAACGGGAUAAGGAUAUCUCUUGCAUGAUUCCUCUUUUUGACCUAAUCUAGGUGGUAGAGGAAUUGUUUAACUAUGAGAUACUCGGAUAACCUUUUUUUGUGUCUGAUUUUCAAAAGGAAAUAUAAAAACGUGGAAGGUAACAUCAGCAAAGAGACGAGAGGUACUGCUGGUCCACAGGGAGGCGCCAAAUCACAACAAGCUGAAACUUUCUCACAGGAGCUUCCAGGGGAAGAUACUUUUUAAAAAGAC
Molecule: non-coding RNA, 1706 nt
Organism: Xyrichtys novacula (pearly razorfish)
Lineage: Eukaryota; Metazoa; Chordata; Actinopteri; Labriformes; Labridae
Source: the annotation of a GenBank genome assembly